UGCGGGAUCGUCUAAUGGUCGGACGCCUGCCUUUGGAGCAGCGUAAUCCAGGUUCGAAUCCUGGUCCCGCAG
RNAcentral lists this transfer RNA (72 nucleotides) under Candidatus Falkowiibacteriota bacterium. RNAcentral describes it as "tRNA-Gln". It matches the Rfam family "tRNA". From Rfam's summary of the family: Transfer RNA (tRNA) molecules are approximately 80 nucleotides in length. Their secondary structure includes four short double-helical elements and three loops (D, anti-codon, and T loops). Lineage: Bacteria; Candidatus Falkowiibacteriota. The record is from RNAcentral.